This is a long non-coding RNA of Plodia interpunctella (Indianmeal moth), 585 nucleotides long. RefSeq lists it as uncharacterized. The record is from RefSeq and is a predicted model, not a curated record. Lineage: Eukaryota; Metazoa; Arthropoda; Insecta; Lepidoptera; Pyralidae. The transcript is spliced from 3 exons.
AAAAAAUAUAUAUAUAAAAGUAAAAAAAAAAAAAUAAUGUCAACGCCAAUUUUGUAAAUUUAUGUUUGUUUCUACAUUAUGGGUCAAAAUAUUCAGUAAAAAAUACUGUAAUUUUAUUGGUAUAAUGCAGUAACAAGAAGUACAUUAGGGAUCGACCGAUUCGGCUUCGGCCAGUUUCGGUCAAAAAAUCUCAUUGGUGACAUAAAAAAGAAAGUUUUUUGUUUAUAAAAAAUAUAUAUAUUUGUGUUUGUUUCUGCCGAAACAGAGGUCGGGGCCGAAAGUUCGGUUUUAUUUUCGGUCGAACUCUAAAAAAAACACAAAAGUACAAAUGAUCGGUUUUGUGUUUGUAUUUCUUUACAUUGUUGAGACCGCGUACAUACUAAAAAUCAACGAUGCUCUCAACUAUCAAACGUUGAAUGAUUUCUGCAAGAAGUUCCGGGUGCUAGUAGACGAGAUGUCGGCUUACUUCAAGCCGUGCCGGUUCCCCAUAGACCUGGUCUCCAAGUUCUGCUCCGAGAGUGGAAUGGCGACGGGUUUGAACCCUAAACCAGAAUCACAAUGCAAUAAUAAAGUGGUUGAAAAUUA